CAAUAGCGUAUAUUUAAGUUGUUGCAGUUAAAAAGCUCGUAGUUGGAUUUCGGAUGGGAUUUGCCGGUCCGUCGUUACGAUGUGCACUGGCCAGUCCUAUCUUGUUGUCGGGGACUAGCUCCUUGGAUUCACUUCCUGGGACUAGGAGCUGACGAGGUUACUUUGAGUAAAUUAGAGUGUUCAAAGCAAGCCUACGCUCUGAAUACAUUAGCAUGGAAUAACACGAUAGGGCUCUGGCUUAUCUUGUUGGUCUGUGAGACCAGAGUAAUGAUUAAGAGGGACAGUCGGGGACAUUCGUAUUUCAUCGUCAGAGGUGAAAUUCUUGGAUUUAUGAAAGACGAACUUCUGCGAAAGCAUUUGUCAAGGAUGUUUUCAUUAA
RNAcentral lists this ribosomal RNA (379 nucleotides) under uncultured eukaryote. RNAcentral's name for it is "partial 18S ribosomal RNA". It matches the Rfam family "Eukaryotic small subunit ribosomal RNA", at positions 592 to 976 of the family's 1831-position model. The record is from RNAcentral.